GAUGAACGCUAGCGAUAGGCCUAACACAUGCAAGUCGAGGGGCAUCACAUGAAGUAGCAAUACGGAUGGUGGCGACCGGCGCACGGGUGAGUAACACGUAUGCAACCUGCCUUCAACAAGGGGAUAACCCGUUGAAAGACGGACUAAUACCCUAUAACACAGGGGUCCCGCAUGGGAAUAUUUGUUAAAGGACAACCGGUUGAAGAUGGGCAUGCGUUCCAUUAGCUAGUUGGCGGGGUAACGGCCCACCAAGGCAACGAUGGAUAGGGGAACUGAGAGGUUUAUCCCCCACACUGGUACUGAGACACGGACCAGACUCCUACGGGAGGCAGCAGUGAGGAAUAUUGGUCAAUGGACGCAAGUCUGAACCAGCCACGUCGCGUGAAGGAAGACGGCCCUACGGGUUGUAAACUUCUUUUAUACGGGAAUAAAGUGCCCCACGCGUGGGGUUUUGCAUGUACCGUAUGAAUAA
RNAcentral lists this ribosomal RNA (472 nucleotides) under uncultured bacterium. Its description in RNAcentral is "bacterial SSU rRNA". It matches the Rfam family "Bacterial small subunit ribosomal RNA", at positions 28 to 489 of the family's 1533-position model. The record is from RNAcentral.